This 214-nucleotide ribosomal RNA is filed under the name uncultured bacterium. Its description in RNAcentral is "partial 16S ribosomal RNA". It matches the Rfam family "Bacterial small subunit ribosomal RNA", at positions 117 to 334 of the family's 1533-position model. The record is from RNAcentral.
CUGGGAAACUGCCUGAUGGAGGGGGAUAACUGCUGGAAACGGUAGCUAAUACCGCAUAAUGUCGCAAGACCAAAGUGGGGGACCUUCGGGCCUCAUGCCAUCAGAUGUGCCCAGAUGGGAUUAGCUAGUAGGUGGGGUAAUGGCUCACCUAGGCGACGAUCCCUAGCUGGUCUGAGAGGAUGACCAGCCACACUGGAACUGAGACACGGUCCAG